GAAUUAUGUCAGCCAUUUUUACAAUUAGUGAUGUCAUACAUUGAUGGUAUUUUGUAUAUCAUCAUUGUUGUCAUAUUGGCAAUAUAUUUCAAUGAAAUUUUUGGGGUAUCAACAAUUGUUAUAUCAUGGCAAUGUGAUAUUGACACAAUUAUGGCAUCAUUCUGAAUUAGAACAAAACUCUGAAGAAUUUAAUUAUAUAUUUUCUUUGCAACCCAAAAUGCUCCACUUUCCAUGGAUAAUCUUGACCAGCUCUUAGAAGAGGGGGGUCCAGCUGGGAUAUUGGCCAAGGACCCAUGAGGCAGGCCUAAGGAUGCCAACAGGAUUGCAGGUUUACAGGAUGGUGCAAUAUAAAAAGGUUCUACUUUUUUGACUGCCUAAUAUCAAUGACAUUCACAAAAUUUUUUAGUUACAAAAUCAAAAAUUAAUUUGUAAAAAAAAAAAGAAAUGAA
RNAcentral lists this long non-coding RNA (449 nucleotides) under Androctonus crassicauda. Lineage: Eukaryota; Metazoa; Arthropoda; Arachnida; Scorpiones; Buthidae. The record is from RNAcentral.